RNAcentral lists this transfer RNA (75 nucleotides) under Halorhodospira halophila. Its description in RNAcentral is "tRNA-Gln". It matches the Rfam family "tRNA". From Rfam's summary of the family: Transfer RNA (tRNA) molecules are approximately 80 nucleotides in length. The record is from RNAcentral. Lineage: Bacteria; Pseudomonadati; Pseudomonadota; Gammaproteobacteria; Chromatiales; Ectothiorhodospiraceae. RNAcentral also lists the same sequence under 6 other names.
UGGGGCGUAGCCAAGCGGUAAGGCACCGGUUUUUGGUACCGGGAUUCGCAGGUUCGAAUCCUGCCGCCCCAGCCA